GACGAACGCUGGCGGCGUGGAUUAGGCAUGCAAGUCGGACGGUAGGACUUUAUCGUAAGAUAGAGUUUGAGAGUGGCGAACGGGUGAGUAAUACGUAGGAAUCUACCCUUAAGACGGGGACAACUCAGGAAACUUGGGCUAAUACCGGAUGCGAGUGUAUGAGAGUACAUUUAAAAGGAUGGUGAAAGCUAUCGCUUAGGGAUGAGCCUGCGGUCUAUUAGCUAGUUGGUGGGGUAAGAGCUCACCGAGGCGAUGAUAGAUAGGCGGCCUUAACGGGUGGUCGCCCACACUGGGAUUGAGAUACGGCCCAGACUCCUACGGGAGGCAGCAGUCGAGAAUAGUCUACAAUGGCCGGAAGGCUGAUAGUGCGACGCCGCGUGAACGAGGGAGCCCUUCGGGGUGUAAAGUUCUUUUCUAUACGAGCAGUGCUAUAUAUAUUCAAAGUAUAUAUAGAGGGAUAGUAGUAUAGGAAUAAGCAACGGCUAACUCCGUGCCAGCAGCCGCGGUAACACGGGGGUGCGAGCGUUGACCGGAAUUACUAGGCGUAAAGGGCAGGUAGGCGGAUCUACGAGUUUUUUGUUAAAGGCUACGGCUUAACUGUAGUAAGGCAGGAGAUACUGUAGGUCUGGAAUGCGGUAGGGGAAGACAGAAUUCCUGGUGUAGCGGUGGAAUGCGCAGAGAUCAGGAGGAAUACCGAAGGCGAAGGCAGUCUUCUAGGCCGUAAUUGACGCUUAACUGCGAAGGUGUGGGGAUCAAACAGGAUUAGAUACCCUGGUAGUCCACACAGUAAACGAUAAUCACUAGAUGUCGGAUUCUAGAUGGAUUCGGUGUCGGAGCUAACGCGAUAAGUGAUUCGCCUGGGGAGUACGAUCGCAAGGUUGAAACUCAAAGGAAUUGACGGGGGCCCGCACAAGCGGUGGAGCAUGUGGUUUAAUUCGAGGCAACGCGAAGAACCUUACCCGGUCUUGACAUCCGCGGGAGGCUUCAGAGAUGGAGCUGUGCCGGCGUAAGCUGGAGCCGUGAGACAGGUGCUGCAUGGCUGUCGUCAGCUCGUGUCGUGAGAUGUUCGGUUAAGUCCGCUAACGAGCGCAACCCUUGUUGUGUGUUACACGUAUCACGCAAGACCGCCGGUAGAAAGCCGGAGGAAGGUGGGGAUGACGUCAAGUCAGCAUGGCCUAUAUAUCCUGGGCUACACACACGCUACAAUGGUCGGUACAAUGGGUAGCUAAGCCGCGAGGCGGAGCCAAUCCUAAAAAGCCGGUCUCAGUUCAGAUUGCAGGCUGCAACUCGCCUGCAUGAAGAUGGAGUUGCUAGUAACCGCAGGUCAGCGAUACUGCGGUGAAUACGUUCCCGGGCCUUGUACACACCGCCCGUCACGUCAUGGGAGUUGGCAACACCUGAAGCCGGUAUCCUAACCGAAAGGGGGGAGCCGUCAAAGGUGGGGUUGAUAACUGGGACG
RNAcentral lists this ribosomal RNA (1459 nucleotides) under uncultured bacterium. RNAcentral describes it as "bacterial SSU rRNA". It matches the Rfam family "Bacterial small subunit ribosomal RNA". The record is from RNAcentral.